GGGUUGUGAGGUUAAGCGACUAAGCGUACACGGUGGAUGCCCUGGCAGUCAGAGGCGAUGAAGGACGUGCUAAUCUGCGAAAAGCGUCGGUAAGGUGAUAUGAACCGUUAUAGCCGGCGAUGUCCGAAUGGGGAAACCCAGUGCAAUUCGUUGCACUAUCGUUAACUGAAUACAUAGGUUAACGAGGCGAACCGGGGGAACUGAAACAUCUAAGUACCCCGAGGAAAAGAAAUCAACCGAGAUUCCCCCAGUAGCGGCGAGCGAACGGGGAGCAGCCCAGAGUCUGAAUCAGCUUGUGUGUUAGUGGAACGGUCUGGAAAGUCCGACGGUACAGGGUGAUAGUCCCGUACACCAAAAUGCACAGGCUGUGAACUCGAAGAGUAGGGCGGGACACGUGGUAUCCUGUCUGAAUAUGGGGGGACCAUCCUCCAAGGCUAAAUACUCCUGACUGACCGAUAGUGAACCAGUACCGUGAGGGAAAGGCGAAAAGAACCCCGGCGAGGGGAGUGAAAAAGAACCUGAAACCGUGUACGUACAAGCAGUGGGAGCACCUUCGGGUGUGACUGCGUACCUUUUGUAUAAUGGGUCAGCGACUUAUAUUCUGUAGCAAGGUUAACCGUAUAGGGGAGCCGCAGGGAAACCGAGUCUUAACUGGGCGUUAAGUUGCAGGGUAUAGACCCGAAACCCGGUGAUCUAGCCAUGGGCAGGUUGAAGGUUGGGUAACACUAACUGGAGGACCGAACCGACUAAUGUUGAAAAAUUAGCGGAUGACUUGUGGCUGGGGGUGAAAGGCCAAUCAAACCGGGAGAUAGCUGGUUCUCCCCGAAAGCUAUUUAGGUAGCGCCUCGUGAACUCAUCUUCGGGGGUAGAGCACUGUUUCGGCUAGGGGGUCAUCCCGACUUACCAACCCGAUGCAAACUACGAAUACCGAAGAAUGUUAUCACGGGAGACACACGGCGGGUGCUAACGUCCGUCGUGAAGAGGGAAACAACCCAGACCGCCAGCUAAGGUCCCAAAGUCAUGGUUAAGUGGGAAACGAUGUGGGAAGGCACAGACAGCCAGGAUGUUGGCUUAGAAGCAGCCAUCAUUUAAAGAAAGCGUAAUAGCUCACUGGUCGAGUCGGCCUGCGCGGAAGAUGUAACGGGGCUAAACCAUGCACCGAAGCUGCGGCAGCGACACUAUGUGUUGUUGGGUAGGGGAGCGUUCUGUAAGCCUGCGAAGGUGACCUGUGAGGGUUGCUGGAGGUAUCAGAAGUGCGAAUGCUGACAUAAGUAACGAUAAAGCGGGUGAAAAGCCCGCUCGCCGGAAGACCAAGGGUUCCUGUCCAACGUUAAUCGGGGCAGGGUGAGUCGACCCCUAAGGCGAGGCCGAAAGGCGUAGUCGAUGGGAAACAGGUUAAUAUUCCUGUACUUGGUGUUACUGCGAASGGGSACGGAGAAGGCUAUGUUAGCCGGGCGACGGUUGUCCCGGUUUAAGCAUGUAGGCUGAUUGUCCAGGCAAAUCCGGAUAAUCAAGGCUGAGGUGUGAUGACGAGGCACUACGGUGCUGAAGUAACAAAUGCCCUGCUUCCAGGAAAAGCCUCUAAGCAUCAGGUAACAUCAAAUCGUACCCCAAACCGACACAGGUGGUCAGGUAGAGAAUACCAAGGCGCUUGAGAGAACUCGGGUGAAGGAACUAGGCAAAAUGGUGCCGUAACUUCGGGAGAAGGCACGCUGGUGUGUAGGUGAAGUCCCUGCGGAUGGAGCUGAGACCAGUCGAAGAUACCAGCUGGCUGCAACUGUUUAUUAAAAACACAGCACUGUGCAAACACGAAAGUGGACGUAUACGGUGUGACGCCUGCCCGGUGCCGGAAGGUUAAUUGAUGGGGUUAUCCGUAAGGAGAAGCUCUUGAUCGAAGCCCCGGUAAACGGCGGCCGUAACUAUAACGGUCCUAAGGUAGCGAAAUUCCUUGUCGGGUAAGUUCCGACCUGCACGAAUGGCGUAAUGAUGGCCAGGCUGUCUCCACCCGAGACUCAGUGAAAUUGAACUCGCUGUGAAGAUGCAGUGUACCCGCGGCAAGACGGAAAGACCCCGUGAACCUUUACUAUAGCUUGACACUGAACAUUGAGCCUUGAUGUGUAGGAUAGGUGGGAGGCUUUGAAGCGUGGACGCCAGUCUGCGUGGAGCCAACCUUGAAAUACCACCCUUUAAUGUUUGAUGUUCUAACGUUGGCCCCUGACCGGGGUUGCGGACAGUGUCUGGUGGGUAGUUUGACUGGGGCGGUCUCCUCCCAAAGCGUAACGGAGGAGCACGAAGGUUAGCUAAUCCUGGUCGGACAUCAGGAGGUUAGUGCAAUGGCAUAAGCUAGCUUGACUGCGAGCGUGACGGCGCGAGCAGGUGCGAAAGCAGGUCAUAGUGAUCCGGUGGUUCUGAAUGGAAGGGCCAUCGCUCAACGGAUAAAAGGUACUCCGGGGAUAACAGGCUGAUACCGCCCAAGAGUUCAUAUCGACGGCGGUGUUUGGCACCUCGAUGUCGGCUCAUCACAUCCUGGGGCUGAAGUAGGUCCCAAGGGUAUGGCUGUUCGCCAUUUAAAGUGGUACGCGAGCUGGGUUUAGAACGUCGUGAGACAGUUCGGUCCCUAUCUGCCGUGGGCGCUGGAGAAUUGAGGGGGGCUGCUCCUAGUACGAGAGGACCGGAGUGGACGCAUCACUGGUGUUCGGGUUGUCAUGCCAAUGGCACUGCCCGGUAGCUAAAUGCGGAAGAGAUAAGUGCUGAAAGCAUCUAAGCACGAAACUUGCCCCGAGAUGAGUUCUCCCUGAGACUAUAAGUCUCCUGAAGGAACGUUAAAGACGAUGACGUUGAUAGGCCGGGUGUGUAAGCGCAGCGAUGCGUUGAGCUAACCGGUACUAAUGAACCGUGAGGCUUAACCUUACAACGCCGAAG
This 2922-nucleotide ribosomal RNA is filed under the name Klebsiella pneumoniae. Its description in RNAcentral is "bacterial LSU rRNA". It matches the Rfam family "Bacterial large subunit ribosomal RNA". The record is from RNAcentral. Lineage: Bacteria; Pseudomonadati; Pseudomonadota; Gammaproteobacteria; Enterobacterales; Enterobacteriaceae.